Molecule: transfer RNA, 74 nt
Filed under: Rickettsiales bacterium
Lineage: Bacteria; Pseudomonadati; Pseudomonadota; Alphaproteobacteria; Rickettsiales
Description: tRNA-Gln
Rfam family: tRNA
About the family: Transfer RNA (tRNA) molecules are approximately 80 nucleotides in length. Their secondary structure includes four short double-helical elements and three loops (D, anti-codon, and T loops).
Source: RNAcentral
UGUUAGUUCGUCUAAUGGUAGGACAAAGGAUUCUGAUUCCUUUUAUUUAGGUUCGAGUCCUAAACUAACAGCCA